AAAUGUCACCCUUGCCGGCUUCCCUAACACAUGCAGUCGAGCGCGAAAGUUCCUUCGGGAAUGGGUAAAGCGGCGAACGGGUGAGUAACACGUGAGAAUCUACCCUUUAGUGAAGAAUACCUUCGAGAAAUCGAAGUUAAUACUGCAUAAGUCCCUUCGGGGAGAAAGGUGGCCUAAUUGCUACCGCUAGAGGAUGAGCUUGCGUACUAUUAGCUAGUUGGUGAGGUAAUGGCUCACCAAGGCGAUGAUGGUUAACCGGCCUGAGAGGGUGUACGGUCACACUGGAACUUAGACACGGUCCAGACUCCUACGGGAGGCAGCAGUGAGGAAUAUUGCGCAAUGGGCGAAAGCCUGACGCAGCGACGCCGCGUGGAGGAUGAAGGCCUUCGGGUUGUAAACUUCUGUUAAGUGGGAAGAAAACUACAUCUCUAAUACAGAUGUAGCAUGACGGUACCGCUAAAGAAAGCACCGGCUAAACUCGUGCCAGCAGCCGCGGUAAUACGAGUGGUGCAAGCGUUAUUCGGAAUUAUUGGGCGUAAAGGGUGCGCAGACGGCUUGUUAAGUCACUUGUUAAAUUCUCCGGCCUAACCGGAGGCGAGCAUGUGAAACUAGCAGGCUAGAGGGUGAGAGAGAGAAGUGGAAUUCUCGGAGUAGCGGUAAAAUGCGUAGAUCUCGAGAGGAACACCAAUGGCGAAGGCAGCUUCUUGGCUCACUCCUGACGUUCAGGCACGAAAGCGUGGGG
Molecule: ribosomal RNA, 742 nt
Filed under: uncultured bacterium
Lineage: Bacteria
Description: bacterial SSU rRNA
Rfam family: Bacterial small subunit ribosomal RNA
Source: RNAcentral